Oncorhynchus keta (chum salmon) is the source of this 421-nucleotide long non-coding RNA. RefSeq lists it as uncharacterized. The record is from RefSeq and is a predicted model, not a curated record. NCBI's taxonomy places the organism in Eukaryota, Metazoa, Chordata, Actinopteri, Salmoniformes, Salmonidae. The transcript is spliced from 3 exons.
AGCGGUGUGAACAGGCAGUGGUAGCGGUGUGAACAGGCAGUGGUAGCGGUGUGAACAGGCAGUGGUAGCGGUGUGAACAGGCAGUGGUAGCGGUGUGAACAGGCAGUGGUAGCGGUGUGAACAGGUAGUGGUAGCGGUGUGAACAGGCAGUGGUAGCGGUGUGAACAGGCAGUGGUAGCGGUGUGAACAGGCAGUGGUAGCGGUGUGAACAGGCAGUGGUAGCGGUGUGAACAGGCAGUGGUAGCGGUGUGAACAGGCAGUGGUAGCGGUGUGAACAGGUAGUGGUAGCGGUGUGAACAGGCAGUGGUAGCGGUGUGAACAGGCAGUGGUAGCGGUGUGAACAGGCAGUGGUAGCGGUGUGAACAGGCAGUGGUAGCGGUGUGAACAGGCAGUGGUAGCGGUGUGAACAGGUAGCGGUGUG